AGCAGCCGCGGUAAUUCCAGCUCCAAUAGCGUAUAUUAAAGUUGUUGCAGUUAAAAAGCUCGUAGUUGAAUUUCGGGAUUGACACAUCGGUCGUGCCUUAAGGGGUAUGAACUGGUGUAGUCAAUUUCUCACCUUCUGGAGAACCGCGCUGUCCUUAAUUGGGUGACGCGGGGAACCGGGACCUUUACUUUGAAAAAAUUAGAGUGUUUAAAGCAGGCAUUUUGCUUGAAUACAUUAGCAUGGAAUAAUAAAAUAGGACGGCAUGAUUCUAUUUUGUUGGUUUCUAGGAUCACCGUAAUGAUUAAUAGGGAUAGUUAGGGGGCAUUAGUAUUCAAUUGUCAGAGGUGAAAUUCUUGGAUUUAUUGAAGACUAACUACUGCGAAAGCAUUUGCCAAGGAUGUUUUCAUUAAUCAAGAACGAAGUUAGGGAUCGAAGACGAUCAGAUACCGUCUAGUCUUAACCGAUAAACUAUAGCCGUACUAGGAA
RNAcentral lists this ribosomal RNA (486 nucleotides) under uncultured Entrophospora. RNAcentral describes it as "SSU rRNA". It matches the Rfam family "Eukaryotic small subunit ribosomal RNA", at positions 569 to 1054 of the family's 1831-position model. Lineage: Eukaryota; Fungi; Glomeromycota; Glomeromycetes; Entrophosporales; Entrophosporaceae. The record is from RNAcentral.